CCUACGGGAGGCAGCAGUGAGGAAUAUUGGACAAUGGGCGCAAGCCUGAUCCAGCCAUGCCGCGUGCAGGAUGACGGUCCUAUGGAUUGUAAACUGCUUUUAUACGAGAAGAAACACUCCAACGUGUUGGAGCUUGACGGUAUCGUAAGAAUAAGGAUCGGCUAACUCCGUGCCAGCAGCCGCGGUAAU
This 189-nucleotide ribosomal RNA is filed under the name uncultured bacterium. Its description in RNAcentral is "partial 16S ribosomal RNA". It matches the Rfam family "Bacterial small subunit ribosomal RNA", at positions 338 to 524 of the family's 1533-position model. The record is from RNAcentral.